Molecule: ribosomal RNA, 407 nt
Filed under: uncultured bacterium
Lineage: Bacteria
Description: partial 16S ribosomal RNA
Rfam family: Bacterial small subunit ribosomal RNA
Source: RNAcentral
AUUGAACGCUGGCGGCAGGCCUAACACAUGCAAGUCGAGCGGAGCGGCGGACGGGUGAGUAAUGCCUAGGAAUCUGCCUGGUAGUGGGGGAUAACGUCCGGGAACGGGCGCUAAUACCGCAUACUAUCAGAUGAGCCUAGGUCGGAUUAGCUAGUUGGUGGGGUAAAGGCCUACCAAGGCGACGAUCGGUAGCUGGUCUGAGAGGAUGAUCCGUCACACUGGAACUGAGACACGGCCCAGACUCCUACGGGAGGCAGCAGUGGGGAAUAUUGGACAAUGGGCGAAAGCCUGACCCAGCCAUGCCGCGUGUGUGAAGAAGGUCUUCGGAUUGUAAAGCACUGUAAGUAGAGAGGCGGUACCAACAGAGUAAGCACCGGCUAACUACGUGCCAGCAGCCGCGGUAAUUC